GGGGGAUAACAUUUGGAAACAGAUGCUAAUACCGCAUAGAUCCAAGAACCGCAUGGUUCUUGGCUGAAAGAUGGCGUAAGCUAUCGCUUUUGGAUGGACCCGCGGCGUAUUAGCUAGUUGGUGAGGUAAUGGCUCACCAAGGCGAUGAUACGUAGCCGAACUGAGAGGUUGAUCGGCCACAUUGGGACUGAGACACGGCCCAAACUCCUACGGGAGGCAGCAGUAGGGAAUCUUCCACAAUGGACGCAAGUCUGAUGGAGCAACGCCGCGUGAGUGAAGAAGGCUUUCGGGUCGUAAAACUCUGUUGUUGGAGAAGAAUGGUCGGCAGAGUAACUGUUGUCGGCGUGACGGUAUCCAACCAGAAAGCCACGGCUAACUACGUGCCAGCAGCCGCGGUAAUACGUAGGUGGCAAGCGUUAUCCGGAUUUAUUGGGCGUAAAGCGAGCGCAGGCGGUUUUUUAAGUCUGAUGUGAAAGCCCUCGGCUUAACCGAGGAAGCGCAUCGGAAACUGGGAAACUUGAGUGCAGAAGAGGACAGUGGAACUCCAUGUGUAGCGGUGAAAUGCGUAGAUAUAUGGAAGAACACCAGUGGCGAAGGCGGCUGUCUGGUCUGUAACUGACGCUGAGGCUCGAAAGCAUGGGUAGCGAACAGGAUUAGAUACCCUGGUAGUCCAUGCCGUAAACGAUGAAUGCUAGGUGUUGGAGGGUUUCCGCUCUUCAGUGCCGCAGCUAACGCAUUAAGCAUUCCGCCUGGGGAGUACGACCGCAAGGUUGAAACUCAAAGGAAUUGACGGGGGCCCGCACAAGCGGUGGAGCAUGUGGUUUAAUUCGAAGCAACGCGAAGAACCUUACCAGGUCUUGACAUCUUUUGAUCACCUGAGAGAUCAGGUUUCCCCUUCGGGGGCAAAAUGACAGGUGGUGCAUGGUUGUCGUCAGCUCGUGUCGUGAGAUGUUGGGUUAAGUCCCGCAACGAGCGCAACCCUUAUGACUAGUUGCCAGCAUUUAGUUGGGCACUCUAGUAAGACUGCCGGUGACAAACCGGAGGAAGGUGGGGAUGACGUCAAAUCAUCAUGCCCCUUAUGACCUGGGCUACACACGUGCUACAAUGGAUGGUACAACGAGUUGCGAGACCGCGAGGUCAAGCUAAUCUCUUAAAGCCAUUCUCAGUUCGGACUGUAGGCUGCAACUCGCCUACACGAAGUCGGAAUCGCUAGUAAUCGCGGAUCAGCACGCCGCGGUGAAUACGUUCCCGGGCCUUGUACACACC
Molecule: ribosomal RNA, 1266 nt
Filed under: Lacticaseibacillus casei
Lineage: Bacteria; Bacillati; Bacillota; Bacilli; Lactobacillales; Lactobacillaceae
Description: bacterial SSU rRNA
Rfam family: Bacterial small subunit ribosomal RNA
Source: RNAcentral